AGGAAGAUAGCUCAGUUGGUAGAGCAGCGGUUUCCAAAACCGAAGGACACGGGUUCAAGUCCCCUUUUUCCUG
Molecule: transfer RNA, 73 nt
Filed under: Durinskia baltica diatom endosymbiont
Lineage: Eukaryota; Bacillariophyta; Bacillariophyceae
Description: Endosymbiont of Durinskia baltica tRNA-Trp
Rfam family: tRNA
About the family: Transfer RNA (tRNA) molecules are approximately 80 nucleotides in length.
Source: RNAcentral